CCUACGGGAGGCAGCAGUAAGGAAUAUUGGUCAAUGGACGAAAGUCUGAACCAGCCAUCCCGCGUGCAGGAUGAAAGCCCUAUGGGUUGUAAACUGCUUUUAGCAGAGAAGAAAAGCUUCCAUUUAUGGGGGUCUGACGGUAUCUGCAGAAUAAGCACCGGCUAACUCCGUGCCAGCAGCCGCGGUAAUACGGAGGGUGCGAGCGUUAUCGGGAAUUACUGGGUUUAAGGCGGAGGUAGGCGGCGUAUUUGAAAUAGUGUCGCUUAACGAUAAAAUUGCCAAUGAUACUGGUACUCUUGAAUUGGGUUGAGGUGAGCGGAAUGUGACAUGUAGCGGUGAAAUGCAUAGAUAUGUCAUGGAACACCAAUUGCGAAGGCAGCUAACUGGGCCUUGAUUGACGCUGAGGCACGAAAGCGUGGGUAGCGAACAGGAUUAGAUACCCUAGUAGUC
This 450-nucleotide ribosomal RNA is filed under the name uncultured bacterium. RNAcentral describes it as "partial 16S ribosomal RNA". It matches the Rfam family "Bacterial small subunit ribosomal RNA", at positions 338 to 795 of the family's 1533-position model. The record is from RNAcentral.